This is a long non-coding RNA of Epinephelus moara (kelp grouper), 247 nucleotides long. RefSeq lists it as uncharacterized. NCBI's taxonomy places the organism in Eukaryota, Metazoa, Chordata, Actinopteri, Perciformes, Serranidae. The record is from RefSeq and is a predicted model, not a curated record. The transcript is spliced from 2 exons.
GGAGCACUGGGUGGUGGAGGAGCAGUGAUGCUGCAGGACCACUGUGUGAGAAAGGACGCUGCAGAUAAGGGCUGAGUCGAUCUUGGUGAGACUUAAAACUUAACAAGCACAAGAACAACAGGGGGAUGCAAUGGAGCCUGAACUCACCCCGCAAUGAAACAACCCCCUUACCCUGAGUCUCAACUCUGUGGGUUUUGCAAGCCUUUCCCUGUUCCUUAUUUUUAAUAAACCAAACACUGAGCUUCCC